CUAAUUUUUUUUUUAUUUUUAUUUUUUUGCAGAGGGAAAAGUCCCCUUCGACCCAGUAUCAAAUUUGUUGAUUGCAUGGCUCUGUUCAUUUCAUCCCAGUAUUUUCUGUUUGAUGACAGACUGAACUGCUGUCAAGUGAACAAGUGUUAUCUCUCCUAUGCACUACCAGUCUGGUAAUCAGCAGGGAAGCUGGCAAGUGGAACUAAGAACAAGGAAAAAGUAAUCUUCUCUCAGAGGCCCACUGCCAAGAGACAGAGCUGCCAGCCUGCCAGCAGCAGCAGCGCUUCCACCAGGGAGUCAGAGCAGGAGCUCCUCGUUCCCACAGCUGUUUCCACUGUACUUCUAAGCUGAGAAGAAGUGAAGCACCAAGAAUCCACUUCAGAUGGGCACAGAAAAUCCCCCAGUGUGGAUUCCCCGUGACUGCAGCAAGCAAAAAACUACCUAACACACUAGGGUCAUGAAGGCUCCCGCAGACAGCACAUAUACUUUGGAGUAUGGAGAAGGAGAAUAUCUUCCUCAAAAGAUCUGCUGAUUCCAAAGUCAGACGUGGCCUGAUGGUAAAUGGGUCCAUAACAAUAAGUCUGACAAUCCCUGAGCAAUUGGAGUUGGCAUUUCCUGGCACGUACAACCAGGAUGGCCAGGCAGUUCUGAAUGGUGGCCAAGCAAAGCUACAAGCAAGUCAACAUGAUAGCCAAGGAUAGUUCUGAACUGCCACUUUCCUGUCUUAUGUAUAAAGAGAAGUAGAAGCUGUGAAAUAUUUCAGCCCCAUGUACUACCCUGAUUUUAUCACGACUGUAUUUUCUUCUUGAUUCAAAUAAAAAUAGGUAGCUCCUCACA
Molecule: long non-coding RNA, 837 nt
Organism: Gopherus evgoodei (Goodes thornscrub tortoise)
Lineage: Eukaryota; Metazoa; Chordata; Testudines; Testudinidae
Exons: 3
Source: RefSeq, a predicted model, not a curated record